This 379-nucleotide ribosomal RNA is filed under the name uncultured eukaryote. RNAcentral describes it as "partial 18S ribosomal RNA". It matches the Rfam family "Eukaryotic small subunit ribosomal RNA", at positions 592 to 976 of the family's 1831-position model. The record is from RNAcentral.
CAAUAGCGUAUAUUUAAGUUGUUGCAGUUAAAAAGCUCGUAGUUGGAUUUCGGAUGGGACUUGCCGGUCCGUCGUUUCGAUGUGCACUGGCCAGUCCUAUCUUGUUGUCGGGGACUAGCUCCUGGGCUUCACUGUCCGGGACUAGGAGCUGACGAGGUUACUUUGAGUAAAUUAGAGUGUUCAAAGCAAGCCUACGCUCUGAAUACAUUAGCAUGGAAUAACACGAUAGGACUCUGGCUUAUCUUGUUGGUCUGUGAGACCAGAGUAAUGAUUAAGAGGGACAGUUGGGGGCAUUCGUAUUUCAUUGUCAGAGGUGAAAUUCUUGGAUUUAUGAAAGACGAACUUCUGCGAAAGCAUUUGCCAAGGAUGUUUUCAUUAA